This 460-nucleotide ribosomal RNA is filed under the name uncultured bacterium. Its description in RNAcentral is "partial 16S ribosomal RNA". It matches the Rfam family "Bacterial small subunit ribosomal RNA", at positions 338 to 795 of the family's 1533-position model. The record is from RNAcentral.
CCUACGGGGGGCAGCAGUGAGGAAUAUUGGUCAAUGGGCGCGAGCCUGAACCAGCCAAGUAGCGUGAAGGAUGACUGCCCUACGGGUUGUAAACUUCUUUUAUAAAGCAAUAAAGUGAGGCACGUGUGCCUUUUUGUAUGUACUUUAUGAAUAAGGAUCGGCUAACUCCGUGCCAGCAGCCGCGGUAAUACGGAGGAUCCGAGCGUUAUCCGGAUUUAUUGGGUUUAAGGGGAGCGUAGAUGGGUUGUUAAGUCAGUUGUGAACGUUUGCGGCUCAACCGUAAAAUUGCAAUUGAUACUGGCAGCCUUGAGUACAGUUGAGGUAGGCGGAAUUCGUGGUGUAGCGGUGAAAUGCUGAGAUAUCACGAAGAACUCCGAUUGCGAAGGCAGCUUACUAAACGGCCACUGACAUUGAUGCUCGAAAGUGUGGGUAUCAAACAGGAUUAGAGACCCGAGCAGUC